This 468-nucleotide ribosomal RNA is filed under the name uncultured bacterium. RNAcentral describes it as "partial 16S ribosomal RNA". It matches the Rfam family "Bacterial small subunit ribosomal RNA", at positions 28 to 507 of the family's 1533-position model. The record is from RNAcentral.
GACGAACGCUGGCGGCGUGCUUAACACAUGCAAGUCGAACGGAAAGGCCCUGCUUUUGUGGGGUGCUCGAGUGGCGAACGGGUGAGUAACACGUGAGUAACCUGCCCUUGACUUUGGGAUAACUUCAGGAAACUGGGGCUAAUACCGGAUAGGAGCUCCUGCUGCAUGGUGGGGGUUGGAAAGUUUCGGCGGUUGGGGAUGGACUCGCGGCUUAUCAGCUUGUUGGUGGGGUAGUGGCUUACCAAGGCUUUGACGGGUAGCCGGCCUGAGAGGGUGACCGGCCACAUUGGGACUGAGGUACGGCCCAGACGCCUACGGGAGGCAGCAGUGGGGAAUAUGGCACAAUGGGCGGAAGCCUGAGGCAGCAACGCCGCGUGCGGGAUGACGGCCUUCGGGUUGUAAACCGCUUUCGCCUGUGACGAAGCGUGAGUGACGGUAAUGGGUAAAGAAGCACCGGCUAACUACGUG